CUCUGUGUGAUCCAGACUGGCUCCCAGACUCCCACAGCCUCUCUGCUGCUGCACGAUCACUUCGUUUGUUAUUCUCACUUCUUUGGUUCUUUUCUCUUUCAAACAUGGAGGAACGAGCUCUAUGAAAAUCCAUACAAGCUGUACACGGUCAGAAUGGGAAAAGGAAACAUUCACUGCCCAAGAUAUCGAUCAAAAUUAGAACAUCUGGGCUGAAUGCUUAAGCAGGGUGCUGUCCUGUGGCAUGGCUGAGCCAGAGUGACAUUGCCACCAUCCACAGAAACAAAACAUGAGUCAAGCACCAGAAGGUUCUGGAGAGGGAGCGUCAUGAUGCCCCCUGCAGCAGCAGCAGCCACCAGGUUCUGGAUGUUGGCUGUGGGCAGGGAGAGAACGAGGCCCUGUUGCCCACCCAGGUGUCCGCCUGCGUUGAAGGGGAUGAGGAUGGGCUGGUUCAUGCCUGGCGCUGCACCGGACAUCACACCGCCAACUGCAUUGGCCAGCUGCUGGGCUACCAGGAGAGACUACAGCGGAAACACAAAACACACAUACAUCGCAUUAUU
Etheostoma spectabile (orangethroat darter) is the source of this 557-nucleotide long non-coding RNA. RefSeq lists it as uncharacterized. The transcript has 3 exons. NCBI's taxonomy places the organism in Eukaryota, Metazoa, Chordata, Actinopteri, Perciformes, Percidae. The record is from RefSeq and is a predicted model, not a curated record.